Oncorhynchus keta (chum salmon) is the source of this 369-nucleotide long non-coding RNA. RefSeq lists it as uncharacterized. The record is from RefSeq and is a predicted model, not a curated record. NCBI's taxonomy places the organism in Eukaryota, Metazoa, Chordata, Actinopteri, Salmoniformes, Salmonidae. The transcript has 3 exons.
CCAAAGGUGCUAAUCAACAUUAGUUCAACCGUUACCAUGUUUACCCAACCAAAGGUGCUAAUCAACAUUAGUUCAACCGUUACCAUGUUUACCCAACCAAAGGUGCUAAUCAACAUUAGUUCAACCGUUACCAUGUUUACCCAACCAAAGGUGCUAAUCAACAUUAGUUCAACCGUUGUCAUGUUUACCCAACCAAAGGUGCUAAUCAACAUUAGUUCAACCGUUGCCAUGUUUACCCAACCAAAGGUGCUAAUCAACAUUAGUUCAACCGUUGCCAUGUUUACCCAACCAAAGGUGCUAAUCAACAUUAGUUCAACCGUUACCAUGUAUACCCAACAGCCUGAAUGGUUUAGGUCCUACAAAGCAGUU